GGAUCUCCUAGAAUUUUCUGACCUAAUUCAACCUAAUUUGAGCCUCUAUCCUUUAAUCUCAUUGGACUCGAGAAAGGAAGAAGACUCUGAUCGGGAGUCUCCUUCCUCCCUUCCACUCAUGUGCCAAGCACAUGAUAUUACAGCCUCGUUGACAUACAACUCUCUUGUUCUCCUUCUAUAAGAGAAAUCAUACCUACUCUGUGCACUGUACGGUGAUGGAUGAUCAAAAUUACAGCCAUUUAUUUUUAUAGUGGUGCACUAAGAUGACUACUUGAUGAAUGGAAUCUAUAGAAACAAAUGACUGUGCUUAGUAUGACACAUCGCUAUAUAGUGCACGUGAUUUAUAAUAUAUUGACCUCUUCCAAUAAUGC
RNAcentral lists this long non-coding RNA (371 nucleotides) under Elaeis guineensis (African oil palm). RNAcentral describes it as "long non-coding RNA (EGUI_LNC026272)". Lineage: Eukaryota; Viridiplantae; Streptophyta; Magnoliopsida; Arecales; Arecaceae. The record is from RNAcentral.